RNAcentral lists this ribosomal RNA (468 nucleotides) under uncultured bacterium. Its description in RNAcentral is "partial 16S ribosomal RNA". It matches the Rfam family "Bacterial small subunit ribosomal RNA", at positions 28 to 506 of the family's 1533-position model. The record is from RNAcentral.
GACGAACGCUGGCGGCGUGCUUAACACAUGCAAGUCGAACGGAAAGGCCCUGCUUGCAGGGUGCUCGAGUGGCGAACGGGUGAGUAACACGUGGGUGAUCUGCCCCUUACUUUGGGAUAAGCCUGGGAAACUGGGUCUAAUACUGGAUAGGACCAUGCUGUAGGUGGUGUGGUGGAAAGAUUAGUUUCGGUAAGGGAUGAGCUCGCGGCCUAUCAGCUUGUUGGUGGGGUAAUGGCCUACCAAGGCGUCGACGGGUAGCCGGCCUGAGAGGGUGGACGGCCACAUUGGGACUGGGAUACGGCCCAGAACCCUACGGGGGGGAGCAGGGGGGAAUAUUGCAAAAGGGGGGAAAGCCUGGUGCAGCGGCGCCGCGGGGGGGAUGACGGCCUUCGGGUUGUAAACCCCUUUCAGCCAUGACGAAGCCCUUGGGGGGACGGUAGUGGUAAAAGAAGCCCCGGCUAACUACGG